This 72-nucleotide transfer RNA is filed under the name Didymella glomerata. Its description in RNAcentral is "Peyronellaea glomerata tRNA". It matches the Rfam family "tRNA". From Rfam's summary of the family: Transfer RNA (tRNA) molecules are approximately 80 nucleotides in length. The record is from Rfam by way of RNAcentral. Lineage: Eukaryota; Fungi; Ascomycota; Dothideomycetes; Pleosporales; Didymellaceae.
GCUUCGAUAGCUCAGUGGUAGAGCGUGGGAUUGCAGAUCCUAAGGUCACCGGUUCGACCCCGGUUCGGAGCU